UGUGUAGGCGGUUGCUUAAGUUUGGUGUGAAAUCUCCCGGCUCAACUGGGAGGGUGCGCCGAAUACUGAGUGACUAGAGUGCGGGAGAGGAGAGUGGAAUUCCUGGUGUAGCGGUGAAAUGCGUAGAUAUCGGGAGGAACACCGGUGGUGUAGACGGCUCUCUGGACCGUAACUGACGCUGAGACACGAAAGCGUGGGUAGCAAACAGGAUUAGAUACCCUGGUAGUCCACGCCCUAAACGAUGCAUAUUUGGUGUGGGCAGUUCAGUCUGUCCGUGCCGGAGCUAACGCGUUAAAUAUGCCGCCUGGGGAGUACAGCCGCAAGGCUGAA
RNAcentral lists this ribosomal RNA (330 nucleotides) under uncultured bacterium. RNAcentral's name for it is "bacterial SSU rRNA". It matches the Rfam family "Bacterial small subunit ribosomal RNA", at positions 568 to 898 of the family's 1533-position model. The record is from RNAcentral.